This 506-nucleotide ribosomal RNA is filed under the name uncultured bacterium. RNAcentral's name for it is "partial 16S ribosomal RNA". It matches the Rfam family "Bacterial small subunit ribosomal RNA", at positions 28 to 506 of the family's 1533-position model. The record is from RNAcentral.
GACGAACGCUGGCGGCGUGCCUAAUACAUGCAAGUCGAACGCAUUUUCUUUCACCGUAGCUUGCUACACCGAAAGAAAAUGAGUGGCGAACGGGUGAGUAACACGUGGGUAACCUGCCCAUCAGCGGGGGAUAACACUUGGAAACAGGUGCUAAUACCGCAUAAUUCCAUUUACCGCAUGGUAGAUGGAUGAAAGGCGCUUUUGCGUCACUGAUGGAUGGACCCGCGGUGCAUUAGCUAGUUGGUGGGGUAACGGCCUACCAAGGCUGCGAUGCAUAGCCGACCUGAGAGGGUGAGCGGCCACACUGGGACUGAGACACGGCCCAGACUCCUACGGGAGGCAGCAGUAGGGAAUCUUCGGCAAUGGACGCAAGUCUGACCGAGCAACGCCGCGGGAGUGAAGAAGGUUUUCGGAUCGUAAAACUCUUUUGUUAGGGAAGAACAAGGGUGGGGGGGGAAAGUUCAUCCCUGGAGGGUAUUAAACCAAAAAGCCACGGCUAACUACGU